This 464-nucleotide ribosomal RNA is filed under the name Vreelandella stevensii. RNAcentral describes it as "partial 16S ribosomal RNA". It matches the Rfam family "Bacterial small subunit ribosomal RNA", at positions 339 to 795 of the family's 1533-position model. Lineage: Bacteria; Pseudomonadati; Pseudomonadota; Gammaproteobacteria; Oceanospirillales; Halomonadaceae. The record is from RNAcentral.
CUACGGGAGGCAGCAGUGGGGAAUAUUGGACAAUGGGCGAAAGCCUGAUCCAGCCAUGCCGCGUGUGUGAAGAAGGCCUUCGGGUUGUAAAGCACUUUCAGUGGGGAAGAAAGCCUUGGGGCUAAUACCCUCGAGGAAGGACAUCACCCACAGAAGAAGCACCGGCUAACUCCGUGCCAGCAGCCGCGGUAAUACGGAGGGUGCGAGCGUUAAUCGGAAUUACUGGGCGUAAAGCGCGCGUAGGCGGUCUGAUAAGCCGGUUGUGAAAGCCCCGGGCUCAACCUGGGAACGGCAUCCGGAACUGUCAGGCUAGAGUGCAGGAGAGGAAGGUAGAAUUCCCGGUGUAGCGGUGAAAUGCGUAGAGAUCGGGAGGAAUACCAGUGGCGAAGGCGGCCUUCUGGACUGACACUGACGCUGAGGUGCGAAAGCGUGGGUAGCAAACAGGAUUAGAUACCCCUGUAGUC